RNAcentral lists this ribosomal RNA (489 nucleotides) under uncultured bacterium. RNAcentral describes it as "partial 16S ribosomal RNA". It matches the Rfam family "Bacterial small subunit ribosomal RNA", at positions 30 to 507 of the family's 1533-position model. The record is from RNAcentral.
UUGAACGCUGGCGGCAGGCCUCACACAUGCAAGUCGCACGGUAACAGGAAGAAGCUUGCUUCUUUGCUGACGAGUGGCGGACGGGUGAGUAAUGUCUGGGAAACUGCCUGAUGGAGGGGGAUAACUACUGGAAACGGUAGCUAAUACCGCAUAACGUCGCAAGACCAAAGAGGGGGACCUUCGGGCCUCUUGCCAUCGGAUGUGCCCAGAUGGGAUUAGCUAGUAGGUGGGGUAACGGCUCACCUAGGCGACGAUCCCUAGCUGGUCUGAGAGGAUGACCAGCCACACUGGAACUGAGACACGGUCCAGACUCCUACGGGAGGCAGCAGUGGGGAAUAUUGCACAAUGGGCGCAAGCCUGAUGCAGCCAUGCCGCGUGUAUGAAGAAGGCCUUCGGGUUGUAAAGUACUUUCAGCGGGGAGGAAGGGAGUAAAGUUAAUACCUUUGCUCAUUGACGUUACCCGCAGAAGAAGCACCGGCUAACUCCGUG